Molecule: long non-coding RNA, 359 nt
Filed under: Androctonus crassicauda
Lineage: Eukaryota; Metazoa; Arthropoda; Arachnida; Scorpiones; Buthidae
Source: RNAcentral
UAAUAUUCUUUGUUACUCUAAUUGGACCACAGAUAGUUUAUUAUAGCAACCCACCCAAUACCACAUGCUGUGGGAUAAAGUAAGCUUGAUUGUAAUUUCCCAAGAAGUCAAUGGCUGCAGUAAAGCAAUAAAACUCCAAUGCCCAUUUUUUAAAAUGGCAGCAGGGUAUUUACAUAAUGCACACAAAGAGCAAAGCUCCAAACAGGAUGGGUGCUUUGUUGAGGGAAGCGUUUUCGACCUUAUCGGUGGGCCGGCUUCGGCUGCAGUGGGUGGGCCGAGCAGGGAGGGGCGGACCCCUACAAAAAUGAGCAACUCAGAACUGACGUCAUGGUGUGCAGGGACGAGCAUUAACACAUUGC